UACGGAAUCUUCGCAUCGACAAGCGGCUGCGACAAAUCAGCCGCCUUAGAAGUCGUAAAGUCAUCAAACUCGGUCUCUAGCUUCUGCUUCGUGGCUUCAUCGGUGUCGGAGUCAACGGAGCCCCAGUCGGCGCCGUAGAGGACGGAGGUGGGGCGGACGUGGAGGAGGAUGACGGCGUCACCGGGGCGGAGGUAGUGGUGGACGGACCACUUGACGGCGAAGGCGGACUCGUCGGAGAGGUCGACGGCGAUGCCGAUGCGGCGCUGGGCGGCGGAUGUGGGAGUGUCGGUGGCGUGGGGAGUGGAGGAGGGGCGGUAGCGUGGGGAAGAAGCUUUGACUUUGAUGGCGGCGAGGAGGGGCAGGUCGGAGUCGGGUGAGGAUGGGGCGGGCUUUUGGGAAUCCAUUUCAAAUUAGGGUUUAUUAGGUUUCAAAAUUAGGAAAGUGUUUUUGAG
This 452-nucleotide long non-coding RNA is filed under the name Daucus carota (carrot). RNAcentral's name for it is "long non-coding RNA (DCAR_LNC004172)". The record is from RNAcentral. Lineage: Eukaryota; Viridiplantae; Streptophyta; Magnoliopsida; Apiales; Apiaceae.